RNAcentral lists this ribosomal RNA (429 nucleotides) under uncultured prokaryote. RNAcentral's name for it is "bacterial SSU rRNA". It matches the Rfam family "Bacterial small subunit ribosomal RNA", at positions 355 to 776 of the family's 1533-position model. RNAcentral also lists the same sequence under 1 other name. The record is from RNAcentral.
UAGGGAAUUUUCCACAAUGGACGAAAGUCUGAUGGAGCAACGCCGCGUGAACGAUGAAGGUCUUCGGAUUGUAAAGUUCUGUUGUCAGGGACGAACAAGUACCGUUCGAACAGGGCGGUACCUUGACGGUACCUGACGAGAAAGCCACGGCUAACUACGUGCCAGCAGCCGCGGUAAUACGUAGGUGGCAAGCGUUGUCCGGAAUUAUUGGGCGUAAAGCGCGCGCAGGCGGCUAUGUAAGUCUGGUGUUAAAGCCCGGGGCUCAACCCCGGUUCGCAUCGGAAACUGUGUAGCUUGAGUGCAGAAGAGGAAAGCGGUAUUCCACGUGUAGCGGUGAAAUGCGUAGAGAUGUGGAGGAACACCAGUGGCGAAGGCGGCUUUCUGGUCUGUAACUGACGCUGAGGCGCGAAAGCGUGGGGAGCAAACAGG